This 1422-nucleotide ribosomal RNA is filed under the name uncultured Bordetella sp. RNAcentral describes it as "partial 16S-23S ribosomal RNA intergenic spacer". It matches the Rfam family "Bacterial small subunit ribosomal RNA". The record is from RNAcentral. Lineage: Bacteria; Pseudomonadati; Pseudomonadota; Betaproteobacteria; Burkholderiales; Alcaligenaceae.
AGUCGAACGGCAGCACGGACUUCGGUCUGGUGGCGAGUGGUGAACGGGUGAGUAAUGUAUCGGAACGUGCCUAGUAGGGGGGAUACAGCUAAUACCGCAUACGCCCUUCGGGGGAAAGUUGGGGACCUUUCGGGCCUCGCACUAAUAGAGCGGCCGAUAUCGGAUUAGCUAGCUGGUGGGUAACGGCUCACCGUUGGGCGACGAUCCGUAGCUGGUUUGAGAGGACGACCAGCCACACUGGGACUGAGACACGGCCCAGACUCCUACGGGAGGCAGCAGUGGGGAAUUUGACAAUGGGGAAACCCCUGAUCCAGCCAUCCCGCGUGUGCGAUGAAGGCCUUCGGGUUGUAAAGCACUUUUGGCAGGAAAGAAACGGCACGGGAUAAUACCCCGUGCAACUGACGGUACCUGCAGAAUAAGCACCGGCUAACUACGUGCCAGCAGCCGCGGUAAUACGUAGGGUGCAAGCGUUAAUCGGAAUUACUGGGCGCAAAAGCGUGCGCAGGGUUCGGAAAGAAAGAUGAAAUCCCAGAGCUUAACUUUGGAACUGCAUUUUUAACUACCGAGCUAGGAGUGUGUCAGAGGAGGUGGAAUUCCGCGUAGCAGUGAAAUGCGUAGAUAUGCGGAGGAACACUGAUGGCGAAGGCAGCCUCCUGGGGAUAACACCGACGCUCAUGCACGAAAGCGUGGGGAGCAAACAGGAUUAGAUACCCUGGUGUCCACGCCCUAAACGAUGUCGACUAGCUGUUGGGGCCUUCGGGCCUUGGUAGCGCAGCUAACGCGUGAAGUUGACCGCCUGGGGAGUACGGUCGCAAGAUUAAAACUCAAAGGAACGACGGGGACCCGCACAAGCGGUGGAUGAUGUGGAUUAAUUCGAUGCAACGCGAAAACCUUACCUACCCUUGACAUGUCUGGAAUCCCGAAGAGAUUUGGGAGUGCUCGCAAGAGAACCGGAACACAGGUGUUGCAUGGCUGGUCGUCAGCUCGUGUCGUGAGAUGUUGGGUUAAGUCCGCAAACGAGCGCAACCCUUGUCAUUAGUUGCUACGAAGGGCACCUCUAAUGAGACUGCCGGUGACAAACCGGAGGAAGUGGUGGGGAUGACGUCAAGUCCUCAUGGCCCUUAUGGGUAGGGCUUCACACGUCAUACAAUGGUCGGGACAGAGGGUCGCCAACCCGCGAGGGGAGCCAAUCCCAGAAACCCGAUCGUAGUGUCCGGAUCGCAAGCCUGUGGCCCGGACUCGUGGAAGUCGGAACUGGUGGCCUGAUCAGCGGGCUGUCAUGUGGAAUAGCGUUCCUGGUCUGUAAGCACAACGCCUGUCACACCGGCGGGAGUGGGUUUUACUGAAGAAGUAGUUAGCCUAACCGUAAGGAGGGCGAUUACCACGGUAGGAUUCAUGAUCAGUGAAGUCGUAACAAGGUAA